CGAGCCGGCCGGGCGGCCGCGUCGGGGGCCUCGCGCCCCCGCCGAGGAAGGUCCGGGCUCCACAGGGCAGGGUGGUCGGUAACGCCGACCCGGGGCGACCCGCGGGACAGUGCCACAGAAAGCAGACCGCCACCGAUCCGUCGGUGGUAAGGGUGAAACGGUGAGGUAAGAGCUCACCAGCGCCCAGGGUGACCUGGGCGGCUCGGUAAACCCCACCCGGAGCAAGGUCAAGAAGGGGAGCCGACGGUUCCCCGCGCAGGCGUCCGAGGGCGGCCCGCCCGAGCCUGCGGGUAGACCGCUGGAGGCCGUCGGCAACGACGGCCCGAGAUGGAUGGCCGCCACCCGCCCUCCGGGGCGGGGACAGAACCCGGCCUACAGGCCGACUCGUCCG
RNAcentral lists this RNase P RNA (391 nucleotides) under Thermomonospora umbrina. Its description in RNAcentral is "Actinomadura umbrina Bacterial RNase P class A". It matches the Rfam family "Bacterial RNase P class A". Rfam says of the family: Ribonuclease P (RNase P) is a ubiquitous endoribonuclease, found in archaea, bacteria and eukarya as well as chloroplasts and mitochondria. The record is from Rfam by way of RNAcentral. Lineage: Bacteria; Bacillati; Actinomycetota; Actinomycetes; Streptosporangiales; Thermomonosporaceae.